CGCUUGAAUGAAAGAGUCUAUUUUUUUUUGCCGACACUUUUGCGCAGAAUCAUUGCUUAAAACUUUGCUUCAAUUCUUAAAGUUGGAUGUGGAAUUGUUCAAUGAAUCUUUUUAUGCGACCUCUGUUAGCAAAACUAUAAGAUAUCUGAACCUGAAUUUGAGUAAACGUGAUGUUAGAUAAUAGAACUUGUUGGCGGUAAUAUAUUUAAUGGUCUUAAUAUCAAAUACCAAUCGCGGUUUCAUCCAUCUGAGAGAAAAUUCUUCACGGUAUCUCGUUCAACAGUGUGGAGAGUGGAUAAUUUUAGCAGAAGUAGCGAGGGAAGUUGCAGAAGAAAUUCAAGAGCCAAAUUUCAUGACACGACGAAAAUUUUACAUGUGAACUGAUGAAAUAUAAUCCUCGAAUUUGCCUGCCAAAAGGAACUGAUUCUCUUGGCUUGGAAAUUAAAAAUAAAAAUUUUAAUGACUCUAAAUCAAAUGGAAUUGUCAUGUAAAAAUAUAUUAGGAAUCAUCACGUAAUUAUAUUUCAGAUGUCAUAUAAUUAUUUUUUCCUGUGCGCAUAUGCAAAAUAUUCCUGUAUUGAAUGCGCUGCCCAAAAUAGUAGGGCCAAGAGUCAUUUCUUACAUAUGUAGUCGUGAAAGAGUUUUAAAUCAAACUUUAAAUUAAAUAAAAUUUUUCUGAGGAACUUGACAGUGUCACAUAUAUUUCAAUCGUCUUGUACGGAAAUGCAAUUCUUGAAACUAUCCAUUUGAAUUGAUGUUAUUAUUCCAUCAUACUCAACAGUACGUUUAUUAGCGAUUGUUAAUACGCGUAGCCUUGAACAAAUAGAAAAGAAGAUGCUUGAUCAAAUAUAAUCACGAUGAAGAAGUGAGGAGAAUAGCAGAAUGAUAAUUAUGCUGACUAACCAAAAAAUGAAAAAAAAAAUCAUGUUCAUGUAUUUUCAUGGAUUUUAUGCGAAGAAAGUAAAGAUGUGGCGGUCGUGCAGGC
Frieseomelitta varia is the source of this 984-nucleotide long non-coding RNA. RefSeq lists it as uncharacterized. The record is from RefSeq and is a predicted model, not a curated record. Lineage: Eukaryota; Metazoa; Arthropoda; Insecta; Hymenoptera; Apidae. The transcript is spliced from 6 exons.